UACGAAGGGGGCUAGCGUUGUUCGGAAUGACUGGGCGUAAAGGGUGUGUAGGCGGUUAAACACGUCAGAUGUGAAAUCCCCGGGCUUAACCUGGGAAUGGCAUUUGAUACGGUAGAACUAGAGAUUGGUAGAGGGUAGAGGAAUUGCGAGUGUAGAGGUGAAAUUCGUAGAGAUUCGCAGGAACACCGGUGGCGAAGGCGGCUACCUGGGCCAAUACUGACGCUGAGGCACGAAAGCGUGGGGAGCAAACAGG
RNAcentral lists this ribosomal RNA (253 nucleotides) under uncultured bacterium. RNAcentral describes it as "partial 16S ribosomal RNA". It matches the Rfam family "Bacterial small subunit ribosomal RNA", at positions 524 to 776 of the family's 1533-position model. The record is from RNAcentral.